UACACUCCUGCGGGAGGCAGCAGUGGGGAAUAUUGCACAAUGGGCGCAAGCCUGAUGCAGCCAUGCCGCGUGUAUGAAGAAGGCCUUCGGGUUGUAAAGUACUUUCAGCGGGGAGGAAGGCAAUACGGUUAAUAACCGUGUUGAUUGACGUUACCCGCAGAAGAAGCACCGGCUAACUCCGUGCCAGCAGCCGCGGUAAUACGGAGGGUGCAAGCGUUAAUCGGAAUUACUGGGCGUAAAGCGCACGCAGGCGGUCUGUCAAGUCGGAUGUGAAAUCCCCGGGCUCAACCUGGGAACUGCGUUCGAAACUGGCAGGCUUGAGUCUUGUAGAGGGGGGUAGAAUUCCAGGUGUAGCGGUGAAAUGCGUAGAGGUCUGGAGGAAUACCGGUGGCGAAGGCGGCCCCCUGGACAAAGACUGACGCUCAGGUGCGAAAGCGUGGGGAGCAAACAGGAUUAGAAACCCCGGUAGUCCCA
Molecule: ribosomal RNA, 474 nt
Filed under: uncultured organism
Description: partial 16S ribosomal RNA
Rfam family: Bacterial small subunit ribosomal RNA
Source: RNAcentral